AUUGAACGCUGGCGGCAGGCCUAACACAUGCAAGUCGAGCGAGCGGCGGACGGGUGCGUAAUGUCUGGGAAACUGCCUGAUGGAGGGGGAUAACUACUGGAAACGGUAGCUAAUACCGCAUACCAUCAGAUGUGCCCAGGUUGGAUUAGCUAGUAGGUGGGGUAACGGCGCACCUAGGCGACGAUCCCUAGCUGGUCUGAGAGGAUGACCAGGCAAACUGGAACUGAGAAACGGUCCAUACUCCUACGGGAGGCAGCAGUGGGGAAUAUUGCACAAUGGGCGCAAGCCUGAUGCAGCCAUGCCGCGUGUGUGAAGAAGGCCUUCGGGUUGUAAAGCACUUUCAGCGGGGAGGCGUUACCCGCAGAAGAAGCACCGGCUAACUCCGUGCCAGCAGCCGCGGUAAUUC
This 406-nucleotide ribosomal RNA is filed under the name uncultured bacterium. Its description in RNAcentral is "partial 16S ribosomal RNA". It matches the Rfam family "Bacterial small subunit ribosomal RNA", at positions 30 to 526 of the family's 1533-position model. The record is from RNAcentral.